CCCUUAGAUGUUCUGGGCUGCACGCGCGCUACACUGAUGCGCUCAACGAGUUUACGAACUUGCCCGGAAGGGUUGGUUAAUCUUUUUAAAACGCAUCGUGAUGGGGAUAGAUUAUUGCAAUUAUUAAUCUUCAACGAGGAAUUCCUAGUAAGCGCGAGUCAUCAGCUCGCACUGAUUACGUCCCUGCCCUUUGUACACACCGCCCGUCGCUCCUACCGAUUGAAUGCUCAGGUGAGCCAUUCGGACUUUCAUCAUGCUGGUUUCCAGUUUUGAUGAAGGAAAGUCUUGCGAACCUUAUCAUUUAGAGGAAGGAGAAGUCGUAACA
Molecule: ribosomal RNA, 325 nt
Filed under: uncultured eukaryote
Lineage: Eukaryota
Description: partial 18S ribosomal RNA
Rfam family: Eukaryotic small subunit ribosomal RNA
Source: RNAcentral